RNAcentral lists this ribosomal RNA (440 nucleotides) under uncultured bacterium. Its description in RNAcentral is "partial 16S ribosomal RNA". It matches the Rfam family "Bacterial small subunit ribosomal RNA", at positions 338 to 795 of the family's 1533-position model. The record is from RNAcentral.
CCUACGGGAGGCAGCAGUAGGGAAUAUUGCUCAAUGGGGGAAACCCUGAAGCAGCAACGCCGCGUGGAGGAUGAAGGUUUUCGGAUUGUAAACUCCUUUUGUUAGAGAAGAAAAUGACGGUAUCUAACGAAUAAGCACCGGCUAACUCCGUGCCAGCAGCCGCGGUAAUACGGCGGGUGCAAGCGUUACUCGGAAUCACUGGGCGUAAAGAGCGCGUAGGCGGGAUAGCAAGUCAGAUGUGAAAUCCUAUGGCUUAACCAUAGAACUGCAUUUGAAACUGGUAUUCUAGAGUAUGGGAGAGGUAGGUGGAAUUCUUGGUGUAGGGGUAAAAUCCGUAGAGAUCAAGAGGAAUACUGAUUGCGAAGGCGACCUGCUAGAACAUAACUGACGCUGAUGCGCGAAAGCGUGGGGAGCGAACAGGAUUAGAUACCCUUGUAGUC